AUCAUCUCUACAGACAAUUAUACUUAUAGCUUUUUUUUAUAUUAAUUGGUAAUUUAUACUCUAAAUUCUAUUUGUGAAUGCUUUCUAAAAUUUCAUUAGUAAUUUCAAUGUAAACUAUCUGUUUGUGUGAAACUAAUAAAAUUGUGUUAUUUGCAUAAUCCUAUAUUCUUGAAACUGAGACCAGACUGGGAGAUCACUAUGUACAGCCUCUUCUGAUGUAUUUGAAAUAAUGUAGGUAUUCUGUAUGUAUAGCCAAACAUUUUUGUUAAAAAAAGUGUUCCUAGAGUUGCUUAUAAAGAUUCCUAGGACACAUUCAACCUCAGCUCAUGCAAGAUGAUAGAUCACCAUUAUGGUCAAAGGUCUGUUUAAAGUCAACAAUAACUAUGAUAAUGUUUCUUCUCUUGGCUGUUUUUAUGUUAUUUAUUGCAGUUUGAAUGGUAUCAGUAUUACUUUUUUAUUCAAUACAGCAAUACUGAUUUUGAUUUAAUUUGUUGUUUUAUGUAAGUGGAAGUUUAUUCUGUUGAUCUGUAAACAUCCAAAGCUUUGCUGAGUGAAGGCAAUUGGAUUUGUAAUUGUUGUAUGAUGAUGAUAGUUUUAUUGUUGGAAUAAGUUUGGCAGAAUUUGUUUCCAUUGUGUUGGGUAGAAUUUAUGUUAAAGAUUGAAAUUAAAGAAGAUAACAAAUUUAAUGAGGUUAGUCUAAUAAUCAUGUUUUAAUAUAUUAGGAGUAAAUUUUUCAAUAUCUAGAGCUUUUUUGUUUAAGUUAUUAAUGGCAGGUUCAGCCUCUGCAGUUGUGAAGACAGUAUCAUUCUGUUUGUUAAGGGAUUAGGAAUUCAUUUCUAAUUAACUUUGUCAUUAUCUCAUGUUUGAUCAUUCUCUAUGUAUAGCUUGCAAAGUCAAAAAUCUUAUCAAUUGCUACUUGCAGAAUCAUGACUUUGCAGCAUUUCUGUCAAAUCUUGUCAAUUGUCUGCUUGCAGAGUCAAAAAUCCUGUCAAUGUCUAGCAAGAGUCUUGUCGAUGGUCAUGACUCUGCUAAAUUUCUAGAGUUCGAUCUGACCAGUCUUAAUUUUAUGAAAAUAAAGUCUGGAAAACUAAUUAACCUAACCAUCAAAAACAACUAGAAUUCAUAGUUAUUAACAAAAUCACAAAUAUGUUAGAACAAAAUGGCAAAAAAGGAAGUUAGAGCACUUGUUAAAUGGAAUAAAUAACAAAACAAAUAAAAUUAAGUAAUUAAAAAAUAAUUUAUUAAAUUCACAAAAGUACUUACAUUUACAAGUUUUGUGGAGCCUCUGGGGCGACAAUGCCGUCAGGAUAAAUUUGAUAGCCAAAAUACAGAUGUAUGGCACUUUUGUGAGUAAGGAUGGAGUGGAGGAAAUCUCUGAUGAUGUAAUGACUGACAACAAUAUGGUUUAUGAACAAACCUGAAUCCUUUAUUGAGAGAGAUCUGUACAGGUGAUGCUAGCUCUUUCACAGAGAGCAAUGCAUCCAAAGAAGGAUAAAUACCUUGAGUAUUAAGAAAGUCUCUUGUAUUCUAACAUUGAAAUGUUCUUCUUUGUUGCAUAUACAGAUUUUUCAGAAUGAGUUCUUUUGUUUUUCUUCUUGAUUUCUAUAUAUAUAUUACUUACAAACACAAACAAACAAACACAAACACACACACAAACAAA
RNAcentral lists this long non-coding RNA (1660 nucleotides) under Androctonus crassicauda. The record is from RNAcentral. Lineage: Eukaryota; Metazoa; Arthropoda; Arachnida; Scorpiones; Buthidae.